Molecule: ribosomal RNA, 492 nt
Filed under: uncultured bacterium
Lineage: Bacteria
Description: partial 16S ribosomal RNA
Rfam family: Bacterial small subunit ribosomal RNA
Source: RNAcentral
AGUGAACGCUGGCGGUAGGCCUAACACAUGCAAGUCGAACGGCAGCACAGUAAGAGCUUGCUCUUACGGGUGUCGAGUGGCGGACGGUUGAGGAAUACAUCGGAAUCUACUUUUUCGUGGGGGAUAACGUAGGGAAACUUACGCUAAUACCGCAUACGACCUACGGGUGAAAGCAGGGGAUCUUCGGACCUUGCGCGAUUGAAUGAGCCGAUGUCGGAUUAGCUAGUUGGCGGGGUAAAGGCCCACCAAGGCGACGAUCCGUAGCUGGUCUGAGAGGAUGAUCAGCCACAAUGGAACUGAGACACGGUCCAGACUCCUACGGGAGGCAGCAGUGGGGAAUAUUGGACAAUGGGCGCAAGCCUGAUCCAGCCAUACCGCGUGGGUGAAGAAGGCCUUCGGGUUGUAAAGCCCUUUUGUUGGGAAAGAAAAGCAGCAGGUUAAUACCCCGCUGUUCUGACGGUACCCAAAGAAUAAGCACCGGCUAACUUCGUG